Molecule: transfer RNA, 66 nt
Filed under: Scalithrium sp. LRP 10408
Lineage: Eukaryota; Metazoa; Platyhelminthes; Cestoda; Rhinebothriidea; Rhinebothriidae
Also listed under: 1 other name
Description: tRNA-Trp
Source: RNAcentral
AUAAGAUUAAGUUAUGAUAGACUAUAUGUUUUCAAAACAUAAAGAGGCUUUUGUAGCCAUCUUAUG